Molecule: ribosomal RNA, 465 nt
Filed under: Granulicatella adiacens
Lineage: Bacteria; Bacillati; Bacillota; Bacilli; Lactobacillales; Carnobacteriaceae
Description: bacterial SSU rRNA
Rfam family: Bacterial small subunit ribosomal RNA
Source: RNAcentral
GACGAACGCUGGCGGCGUGCCUAAUACAUGCAAGUCGAACGAGAGCGACCGGUGCUUGCACUGGUCAAUCUAGUGGCGAACGGGUGAGUAACACGUGGGUAACCUGCCCAUCAGAGGGGGAUAACAUUCGGAAACGGAUGCUAAAACCGCAUAGGUCUUCGAACCGCAUGGUUUGAAGAGGAAAAGAGGCGCAAGCUUCUGCUGAUGGAUGGACCCGCGGUGCAUUAGCUAGUUGGUGAGGUAACGGCUCACCAAGGCCGUGAUGCAUAGCCGACCUGAGAGGGUGAUCGGCCACAUUGGGACUGAGACACGGCCCAAACUCCUACGGGAGGCAGCAGUAGGGAAUCUUCCGCAAUGGACGCAAGUCUGACGGGGCAACGCCGCGUGAGUGAAGAAGGUUUUCGGAUCGUAAAACUCUGUUGUUAGAGAAGAACAAGUGCUAGAGUAACUGUUAGCGCCUUGACG